RNAcentral lists this long non-coding RNA (8513 nucleotides) under Zea mays. RNAcentral describes it as "long non-coding RNA (ZMAY_LNC004453)". The record is from RNAcentral. Lineage: Eukaryota; Viridiplantae; Streptophyta; Magnoliopsida; Poales; Poaceae.
GGCACGUACCCUCCUGGCAACGGAUCGCCUCAAAGGGGUGGUGUACUCUCGGGUGGCGCGGACCUGUUCAUGCAGUGGAGGAUCCGUGGGAAUAGUAGACAUCAAGGUUUACGAGAAACAUAUGUCGUGUGGUUAGAGAUCCUCAGCUGAGUAAAUCGAUUCGGAUCGCCGUUAUAUCCCCGGACAGUGGAGACUUGAGCUCCGACCUACAACCUAAGUCAGGAUGUGAACACGAUGGAUAAAAAUGAUGUUGUCUUGAUGUAAUGUGAAAUUAGACUAGAUGCAAAUAGAGUCUAUUAAUACUUAAUAUGGCGUUAAAAGAUUGAAAGUAAGGACUCACUUUAGUAAGCCAUUUCUGCAAAAGUAUAAGUUGAUUUUUGCUAAAGCCUCUCCUUGACUCCUAUUUAUCCAGCAUCCCCUUGAGAGUCUUUUCCUUAGUCGGGUAAGACUUGCUGAGUAUUCCAUACUCAUGGUUUAUCCCUUUGUUGUUUUUAGGUGAGGAAACGACAAAUUUUUGUUGCUUUUGCUCCAAGGUGGUACCAAAUGAAGGAAAACAGGAGUGAAGAUGCGGGAGGACUUGGUCCUCCAUAUAGGAUCUUUUUGUUUUAAAGCUAUCAGGAGGAGUCUGUGCCUCCCUUGAUAUGUGUAACUACUCAGCACUCGUUUAUAGCUCUGGUCUGUAAUAAGUAACUUGAUCUUACUUUCUAAAUAAAUGAAAGUUUAUAUAAUUGCUUCCGCACUUCUAUAUCUCCGAUGUUCUAUAAUGUCUGCAAGACGGGUGAGACGUUCCUGGUAAGGUAAGGAAAGAUACCGAACUUGUCAAGUGACUUAGGAACAUCUACAGGGUGUCUGAAGUCCGUUGGACAAGGACAACUGUAGGUGGGCCUAAUUACUUGGGAGGUUCCGUCACAGCUGGUAUCGGAGCGUAGCCCUUCUUUGCAGAUAUUAUGAGGCAUCUUCAAAAGGAUUUUCAAAAGUCUUACCUAAAAAUUCUUUUCUCUUCUUACCUAAGUAUUCUGAAGAGUCUAUCUUAAAGACCAGAUAGGAAGAGUGCAAUGUAUAGAAGGUUGAAUCGACUAAGGUUGAUUCUGUACUUACACAUGCAUCAUUCUAAGCACUAUAUUAAUAAAAUUUCCCCCUUAGAGAAAUGUUGUCGCGCAUCAGAAAGACCGCGCGCAAAUCUACUAGACCCAUUGGCAUACCUGCCAUUAACUUGCCCCAAGACAUGAAGAAAGUGGCAUUGGUAACAACGAUCCUAUCGGGAUCUGGAAGCACAAGUCGAACUGCUUCAAUCAGAACUCCGUCACAGGAAUGAUCUAUGAGUCGCGGAUGCAGCCAUCCGCUACUUGCAAGACCAACUCGUGAAACGAGAUUUAGCACUCGAUUGGAUGGUUAACUCUCGUUUACUCGUCUGGGCUAAGGAAGCCAAAGCUCGAGCCCAUGUGGAGGAACUUAGCUUAGCCAUGGAUAACUUGCAGGUCUGUUGUAAUGCACUACAUGAAGAAGUUCAUGUGUUGUAUUCACAACUACACCCGAACGUCCCUGCGGAUCUUGUCGGGACAGAAGCCGGACCUUCUCAUGAAGCGGGAGAAGCACGUGAUGGAACCGGACCUUUUCAGCCCCCUCCCUCUAUGAAGUUAGUUGACAAAUGGUCUUCUACGCCCGACAGUAAAGCUACCAAAGGUGAAAAGAAGCGGCUUACCAUGUGCCCGUGACAUUGGCCGGACAGGACUUUCCUACUAAUAUGAUUGUUCUGAAAAGCCAAGACAUAAAUGUCAUCUUGGGCAUAAACUGGUUAGCCCAGCGUAAAGCAGUUCUCAACACUGAUCUGAGAACCAUCUGGUUGAGUUAUAACCAAUAGAGAGUUGGUGACUUAAGUGCCUAAACCCAAGAUUUAGGCUAUAUUCGUAUUUAGUGAACCAUAACCCGGCACAAAGUCGAAUUUUCCGUUAUCACUUCAUGACCACACUCGUACAAAUCCGUGCCUAGAUAAUUUCUUUGUCGGACCUAGAGUAUACCUAGACUUCAAACAAGGAUUUUAAGUCAUGUCUCCCUUUAGAGCCAUUCUCUUGAUCAGCUGAUGCAGGUUGCAGUCUCUAGUGUAUUUGGCCUCUCUUUGCGGAUCGUCGUGUUGCUUUAUUAACCCAACCUAGAAAAGACAUGUCCGACCAUUUCCUUGAAUUUGAUACCUUGGGUUUCUUCAUAUCUAUCGAAGGCCUACCAACUUAAUCCUUGACCUUGUGAUUUCUAUGAUGGGCAUAGAAAUAUGCUUGGGCUAAAUUAACAGUCUCCCAUCAUACUCCUUUCAUCAAGUUUAGGUUAUGGCCAUGCCUUGUUCACUUCUUUGGGCCAUGAUCUAUUUGGCGCUCUACUUGUAUCCAUUUUUACUGGUGGAGUAUCCCUUUGUAUGUAGUCACCCUUGCUCAAUCUAUUGGUGUCGCAUGAGGUUUCUUAUUGGUUAUGUCUGGUAAUGGCGUUAUGACUAAAAUCGGUGAUACCGCGCUCAAACCGAGGGCCUCCGGUGGGUGCACACACAUGGUUGCGCUACUUGACAUGCGCUAGUAUCACAGUUAGUAGUCAUAAUCCAUUAUAAGACUAUAUUGAUAUGUUAUCUCUACGCAGAUUAUUCUUGCCUCGUGAGAUUCAGUAUUGGUGCUAGUUUUGUAAUGGUGUCAUGGUUAAGAACGUAUGGUACUGCAGCGAAGCUGAGGGCCUCCUGUGAAUGCGCACACAGGAUUUUGCUGCUUGGCGCCUGCCGGUACCAAGGUCUCUGGUCAUGAUCCAUUGUGAAACUACACUGAUGUGUUGUCUUCCAUUGACCUUUCCUUGAAACAAUUUCUAUGUUGUUUAUAAAAGAGAUCAAGCAACAUCUGUCAUUUCCAUUGGAUCAAAAGGGCAUACCACUUUCAUGUGUGGUCUUAUUUCUUUUGAUCUUGGUAGUGACUCUUCACACAAGUUCCCUUUGCAUCCUUUGUGUAAAGGUGAAGCCUUGGAGCUUUUUAGUAUAAGAAAACAACUGAUUAGCUCUCAAGAUGGAGAUUGGAUUUCCCCUGCUGCUGAAAUGCAGGAGUUUGUUCAUUCGCUCUCUUAUUUAAUCCAUGUAUUCCCUAACCAAGUGGAUAAUUCAUCUUGCAUGAAGAAACGGAUGGACAACAUGACCAAAUGGAUUUUUACCCAAAUGCAUGACCUUUUGCUUGCAAAUAUGAACUCUCAACCCCUUGGCUUACCAAUGGUACUGAGAGGAUUUGCUCAAUGUCAAAAGUAGUUCAACAAGUUGGUUUUGACUAACUUGUAAUUGCCCAAUGAACGAAGGCUGAGUUUAGAGAUCGUUUCAUCGAGUUGUCUAAACUCACUUUAGUUCAACCUACCCCAAAGAAAGUACUUACCAAAAUGAGAUUAAGUCAGCCAAUAGUCACCUAAUCAUCGCUCUAGUCGUGCCUCGACCACCUCACGCAUGUUUUUUCCUGCAUGUGUGAUCAUGCCGAUCCAUGACUAGUGCUGGAUAAAAUGGACUGGUUGCAAAGUCCGCAUUUUUAGAUCCCUCCACUGGUGAUUUUUCUUGAAUCUAUAUCACCUUUCGUAGACUUGGAUCCCUUGGCUUACACGAGUUGACUGUGAUGUUAUUCGACAUUCACACCCGUCUCAUGUAAUAUGAACUUACUGUAACCACUUGUUGAUAAACCUCUUCUUGUGUGUUUUACCCAAGAUGGUGCAUCUGAUUCUAUUUGGGUAAAGUUGCAUAAUUGCCACCCAACAGACUCAGAUAGUACAGUGUCAUAAAAAAAAAGCAAAUUGCACACCUGGAACCUUAUGUGUUCUUCUGGUGGGCAAAAAUGCAAAUUGAAAUUGCACCCUACGUGGCUAGAUGUGACACUUGUAAACAUGUCAAGGCCAUAUACAUGAAGACUGUUGGUCCAUUACAAUCCUUACCUAUCCCAACAUGGAAAGGGGAAGAUAUUGUAUGAACUUCAUCAUGGGAUUACCCAGGAAUACAAAAGGGUAUGACUCUAUCUGGGUUAUUGUUGAUCGGCUUACGAAAAUUUCUCAUUUUCUGCCCGUCAAGACAAAUUAUCCGGUUACUGUCUAUGCCCAAUUGUACAUUGCUUGUAUUCUUAGUCUGCAUGGUGUCUCGAAGACCGUGGUGUCGGAUCGUGGAUCACAAUUCGUAUCCAAAUUUUGGGAAGAACUUCAUGAAUCCCUGGGUACUAAGUUGCUCCACAGUUCGGCCUAUCAUCUUCAAACCAGUGGGCAGACUGAGAGGGUAAACCAAAUACUGGAAGAUAUGCUACGGGCAUGUGUUUGGAAUUCCCACUGAAAUGGGAUGAAUGCUUGCUCUUAGCGGAGUUUUUAUAUAAUAAUAGCUAUCAAGAAAACAUCAAGAUGGCACCCUUCGAAGCUUUAUAUGGACGACGAUGUCGUACUCCGCUAAAUUGGUCUGAACCUGGAGAAAGGUACUUCUUUAGGCCUGAUAUGGUGAAAGAGGUCGAAGAAAAGGUUCAGAGAAUUAUUCAUAAUAUGAAGAAAGCUCAGACUCGACAAAAGAGUUAUGCAGACCGACGAUGACAACCCUUACGCUUUCUGGUAGACGACUGUGUCUACUUAAAAGUUUCACCAAUGAAGGGUGUAUCGCGUUUCGGGGUUAAAGGGAAGCUUGCACCCAGGUACAUUGGUCCAUUCUUGGUGCUUGAGCAAUGUGGACCAAUGGCGUACCGACUUCAACUACCCGAAACAUUGUCUGUUGUGCAUAAUGUGUUCCACGCGUCACAAUUGAAGAAGUGUCUUCGGGUUCCUGAUCGAACCGUUGAAGUAACUGAUGUUGUCCUGGAACCAGAUUUAACAUACUCGGAACAUUCUAUUCGAGUUCUGGAUCAAAAGGACAGGGUUACCCGAAGAAAGACUCUUAAGUUCUACAAGAUACAGUGGAACCAACAUUCUGAAGAUGAGGCUACAUGGGAAACUCAAAACUUCUUGAAUAAGAAUUUCCCAGGCUUUUUAGCCUCUUGUAAAUUGUAAAGCCUGUGUAACUGUGUAAUAGAGAAGUAACCCCCACAUUACCCAUACCUUGUACCAAAACUUAAGAAAUAAAAAUGUGAUGUGUUUCCUUUACCAUUACCUACCCUAGGAUUUUUAAUCUCGGGACGAGAUUCUUUUAUGGGGGGAAGGAUGUAACACCCCUGGUGUUACUAUAACUAAAACUUGAGCAUGACAUCAUAAGCAUUGGCAUUGCAUAUGUUUGACACACCUAGAGUGCAUUCACUAGGCAAAAAUUUCAAACAAGUUGUAUUGUUUUAAUGUUUUUGCAAAUAGAACCCUGGUUAAAGGACUUAACCCUAAAUAGUGGUUAAAGGGGUAAAACUUAACCCAAGUUGAGAAAACCUAAAAGCUUUAGGGUAAAAGUCAUAAAAUGACCCCAAGAAUAAACUUGAAUCACCUUUAUACCCUUGGGAUACCAGAAAACCCUAAUUGGAGCCCUGGAAAACCCUGAAACCAAGCCCUAGGGGCUUAUGUGCAAAAGUGGUGAACCUUGGGACUAAAGUGUAAAAACUACUAUGUUUGAACAUAUAUAGUCAUUUGGUUCACAAGUAUGUGAAUUUGAAAGCCAAACCCUAAGUUUUGGGCUCAUUUGCAAAAAGGACCUUGAGUUUGAUUCCUAUGCUAAGUCUGAAAACAGGGUUAUAGGCCCAACUUUGGGGCUGUGUAACUUUCAAAAUAAUGAGAAUUCAUGUUAGGUGAUCACAUCAAAGUUAAAGACCUAACAUAGGAGAACAACUUUGCUUAAGAAGGAAAGCAUAGUUGUUAAGCAAAAGUCAGAGAUAAUUAAGCCCCAAGUUUGGCUGUCAGGCUGGUCCAUUCUGAAAUUCAGAUUCUCAGUGGAACAGAGCCAACUUGGUGUGUGAAUUCAAACUUGAAUUGUUGAGAAAUUGAUCAAGGUUGCUGUGACAAAGCUGUAGCUGGCUUGUCAGGCUAUAAUUUUGGUACAGGGAGUUAGCUUGGUCACCACACAAGAUUGGGAGAAAAUUGAGCUCAAAAACGGUCUGUCAGGAUGACUGAACACCAUUCGCCAUGGUACAGUAAGCUCCAACCUGAAGAAGAUCCUAUCCCUCUGCUCGUCGCCGGUGGCCCGUCGCCGUUGAUCACCGCUUGCCGUGAUUCGUGCGCCGUCGCCAUGGAUAAGCACAACCCAGUAAAGAUCUCGGCGUCUAAUCCACUCAAGCUUGGCUACGGCUAAGACCGCCGCACUUCACCGCCCCAGCUCACCGUCGGUUGGAUGACCUCGUCACCGAUAAGCCACCACCGUCGCGCACCACGUGUCUCAGCGCGGAACUUCCUCGCGGUGACUCACCGGUUGCAUGCCCGGCGAUCACCGGAGGGAGCGCCACGGUGAAAGCCACCCACUCCUUGCUCAUGUGUCCAUGUUCCUUCCGGCUGCCAGUAUGACCUUGCGAAAUUGGACACCACCGUCGAUGGGGUCUAUAAAUUGAGUGCGCCACAAUCUCCGUAGGGCAGUAAACUAUCCAGCCACCACGAAUCAGCCGCAACCAUUCGCUAGAAUUCACGAAUUUUGAAUUCGCCCCAAAUCUGUUUCCGCCGCCGUGAAGAACAGCUCGCUGCGGCCAGCUCGAUUCCGGUUAGCUCGCGCCCCUCUGUUUCUUGUUCUAGAGUCCCCAUGUGCCCUUGAUGCUCACCAAACCAUCCAAUUACACUAGAAGCCCACCAAUCGCUGGGAACACGAACUAACAUCCAUGGUUUCCGCUGUCCCCGUGGGCAGAACGAAAUAGGUCGCCAAUCAUGCAAUUGACUUAGGGGAAAUACUCCUUAGGGGUAGAAUCAGGUGUGAACCAAAGAUUAGCGUCGGUCUUCGCCAUCUCCGGCCGGUAUAGCUCGCCAGAUUUCGGUUUCCCGUGCGGAGCUCCGCCGAGGACCGGACGCAGUGAAGGAAUAGAACGUGAAGGGUUUGUCUGCAAUUUGUCAGUGACUCGUGUAAACUGUGUAUGUGCCCACUUGCGGUUAUCCAAAGAGGACUGGGUCUUUCUGCGAAAUUUCCACCGCGGGCGUGGGCGCGUGCGCAAGCGCGCUUCUGUGCGAAGUUGGGCCGCCUAGGCCAGUUUGAGCCCAAGACUGUUUAGAGUUUUUCUUUUUCUUUUUCAGCAGAACUUUGAAAAAGUGUAGAAAAUGGUAGGAAAAUCAUAAAAAUAUGAGACCAAUUUUCUAAGAACCCUAAUUUCCUGUAGUAAUUAAUAAAAAUAAACUCAUGAUUUUUAGAUCAAAUAGGGAAUUUUAGAGUAUUUAAAAUAGCCUAAACUGCUGGUUCUAGAUUUUUAGAAAAUAGAUAAUAAUCCCAAAAUUUCCCAAACUUUUUAUGGGAGCAUUUCACAAUAUUUAGAAGCCUUGGGUAGAGUUUGGCUUGAUUUGAACAUUGUUUGAUAACUAGAACCCAAAAACCCUACCCCUGCCCUAUGAACUCCUUUACCGACUCCGGAAACCCUAGGUUCCCGGAAUCCCGUGAAGGAAAGUUGUACUCAAGACUUAGUUAAUAAAUCCUUAUUACCUUUGCACUCUCAUAAACAUUACAUGGCAUUCAUUCUUAUAUAUAUACCUAUAUGGCUAUAUUUAGAGAACGAAGAAGAGAGUGAAGUGACUCAAAGAGAAGACACCACCACCACCUUUGGAAUCUCAGGCAGAGACUUGGCUCUACUUCGACAACUGCGAGUCCGAGCCUGACUCACCUACUAACGAAGGCAAGCCCCGGUGCAUGCAACCCCAUUCCUUGUGUUCUAAAUACUUUUCGCACACUUUAAGUCUAGUGAAAUGUGCAUUAAGUUCAUAGGAAUUGCUUGAAACCCUUUGAUGCAUUGCUUUCCUUGAUAUCCAUACCUUUAUAGAUACUUCUGUGAAGUAUCAAAAUUAUGAUUUACAAAAAUGCUUAGCCUUGCUUAGAUCUUGUGGAUAGAGGUUGUCCUCAAUUUAACCCGGGAGAGGAUGGCUUCUACCUGCAAGAAUAUUUUCAUUUGGAGCAAUAGUGGGAUCUUACUGCAAAGUUCCCCGUGAUGCUCUUUCAUCCUAAGGAACAGACACAAUCCUACGGAUGGAAAUACUUAAAUCGAGACUUGGGCUAGGAACAGGUGAUGCUCCGCCCGGGUCAAUUAAGGAUUGGAUGCGUAUGUAGGCCUGUUGAUCAAGGACUAUCUUAUCUAGCCACAUGCCCUGAGAAUGGGACAGGGUAAGCUUGAACCCGGCUAUUCCAUUCAUGAAAAGACAAUCGCGCACUGGGCGUGGAGAGAUGGCGAGAGUGGCACGUACCCUCCUGGCAACGGAUCGCCUCAAAGGGGUGGUGUACUCUCGGGUGGCGCGGACCUGUUCAUGCAGUGGAGGAUCCAUGGGAAUAGUAGACAUCAAGGUUUACGAGAAACAUAUGUUGUGUGGUUAGAGAUCCUCAGCUGAGUAAAUCGAUUCAGAUCGCCGUUAUAUCCCCGGACAGUGGAGACUUGAGCUCCGACCUACAACCUAAGUCA